Molecule: long non-coding RNA, 4911 nt
Filed under: Populus tremula
Lineage: Eukaryota; Viridiplantae; Streptophyta; Magnoliopsida; Malpighiales; Salicaceae
Description: long non-coding RNA (PTRE_LNC002368)
Source: RNAcentral
GCAAUUAGUGACCACUUUGAAUGAGCCUGAGGAUCCCGUGGCAAUAUCAGCAGUGCUAAGUGAUUUUAUGGCAUGGUUAGUCUUCUCCAUGAGGGUGGCAUCAAAUGAUUGCAAGCGUGGAUCUAGCUUACAAGCAUCCUCGUAGGAGUUAAAAUCUUCCGCGAAUUGGGAAUGGGUGCUGCUUUGAACAGGUGGUGGUGGGAUAUCACCACCUCUAGUCUUGCAAGAUUGAUCGCCUCUCUUCAUAUCCAAAUGACAGCUGAUAAAAGUAAAAGAAAACUCAAAGUAAGAAAAAGAUGAGAUCUUUUUUCACUUCAAAUGCUUUCUAACAAUAAAAAUAUCAAAUUUAAGCAAUACUAAGAAAUUAAGUUGAGUCACAGAACUCAAGAAAUCCAGUUAACUGACAAAAUCAUCCAAAACUGAAACAAGACACGCUUAUGGAAUAAGAAAACACCCAAAUUAACAACUUUUGAUCUGAUAUCUAGAACCCAGAAUCAAUCCUUCACUUGACUACAGGAUUAAGAGUAAAUGAAUUGAAGGACCUGGAAAAAAAAAAACAGAGAGAAAUUCAUAAAGCAGGCUUUGGGGGCACUAGUCAGCUUACAUUAUAGUCCUUGUAUCGUUUGAGCUUCAACUGCCUGAAAAAUUCACCUGAAAAUGAAAAGGUACGAGUAAUUACUUCCUCUCGCUACAAAACGCUAAGAUCUUGUGUUUUUGUGUAUGUUGGACAGUAGAUUUUUGAGAAAGAGGUUUUUAUGAGCGACGUGAUUAGAAGAGAGGAGGACUUGAGGCAGUCUUACAACGAGAUAAGUUGAAAGACCGGAAGUAAAGAGAAAAUGCAAGGAAAUGUACUGAAAGACACAUUACUGUCCUCAAAGAGGACACAACCGCAGGUUUUUCUAGAGCUGGAAGAUUCAACUACGCGUAUGGAAGUGGUUUUUUCUUGCACAAUACUUUAUGAUUAUUGUUAUUAUUUGUGAACAGCGGCUGCUUUGAUCAGAUGGAAACAAAGGAAGCUGAUAAGGAAAUAGUCAAGGUUGUCAAUUUCGUUCCAUUUCGUCCGGAAUGGUCGAAAUAUUCUAUACCAAUUCAAAAAACGAAAUAAAACGGAAUAAAUUUUAUCUCAUUUUAAAUCUCGGUCCGUUCCGGAUUUUUCGGCUAAAUUCCGCCCGAAACAUUCCGGUUUCAUUUCACGUGUUCCGUUCUGCUCUUGAAAAACCAUUAAAUCAAAUUGAACCUUGCUCAAUUUCAUUAAUUAAACCACCCGAUUAUAAAAAGCUCUUUUUCAUUACUAUUUUCAAUAGUAAUGGUAUUAAUAAUAAUAUUGAAAAUUAUUAUUAUUAUUUUCAUUAACAAUGAUAUUAAUUUUUUAAAAUUAGAUUUAUCACUAAUAUAUAUGGUUUAUAUCCAUGUUUUUUUUUUUCAUGUUUAUACUUUGUAGGAAUUUGAGCAAAACAAUGCAUGUUUUUGAUUCCAUUAGCCACUUGAUAACAUUGACUUAACUUUAUAUUUAAAAUAUUUUUGUUAAAACAUUUUACUUUCAUAAUAUUUUGAUAUUCUGUUUAAGUUGAAUUACUUUAAGUUAAAGAUCUAUUUAAUCUUGACUAUUUAUAAAUAUUUUAAAUUUUGAAAUUAUAUUUGUUUGGCAUUGUGUUUGUAUUGUAUAAUUUAUAAUUAAUUUAUCUUGAAUUCGAAUUAUGUUUGUUGAAUAUAUAUAUAUAUAUAUGAACAGUACAACCCCGAAACGGUACGUCGAAACACUCCGAAAUUGAAACAUUCCAUUCUAAUUGAAAAAAUAAAACACCUACCGAAACGGAAUUGACAACCUUGAAAAUACGACAACCCAAGAUGGGCGGGGAGAGGGCCAAUGGCUGGGUCGAUGCCACUACAAAAUUCCCUUUGUGGCUUAGAUAAUAACCGUUGAGUGUUUAGUUAUAGUUAACAAUGCGAUAAACUGGUACUGGCUAAGUUUUUGACUGCUAAAACAAUGUUUGUUUAAUAUUUAAUUUUUUUAUUUUAAAUUAAUUUUUUUUAAUGUGUUUGUUUGUUUUUAUAUAUUAAUUUUAAAAAAUAAAAAAUAUCAUCUUAAUUUAAUUCUGAAAAAAAAAAACAUUUUAAAACAUAGUUUCCAAAAACAAAAACCGCGACAGGUUCACUGCGUCAAGAUUCUACCAACUUAUCGAGGACGAACAUUCCUAACUUUAUUCCAAGUUGGAAACGUCGCUUCUCCUUAAUUUUAUAACCAGCAAAAGCUAAUUCAUCGCUGAUAGUCUCGUUUAGAAACCCUAAUGACUCAACAAAGUCCACAUCUUGGGUAAAAGAUUUAUUAUGAUGCCAUAUUGUCCCAAUCUUGGAUGAGUAGAGGCAUGCAUUCCGGUGUCAACUACUACCUCCAAUUACAUUAUUCACUAGUUAAAUCUGGUUCACUUUUCACUAACCAUGGGAUCAAAUAAAAGUAUGUGUCUUUGGCAUGUGUUUAAUAAAGAUUGGUUCUACUAUCAUCACUAACAAUACAUAACCCACAAAAUCUAAAACAAAUAUAACUUUUGUAGAGAUUCAAUGUCACUCUAGGCCUUUUUUUCCCAAAGUACUAGACUAAAAUUCUCCCUUGAUCUCCUUAUCUUUACAUGAAUAAUACACUCACAUGAGUUCAAAACUAUAUAAAUAACUUUGAAUCUUGAUGUAAGAAAAUAUUCCUUUUUACAAUAUUAUCCUUCAUACAAAAACUAUAUAUUCUUCCUUAAGUUAUGUAGCACACACAUCACACAAUCUCAUUAGACUUCUUUUCUCUAGGUAUUAAAGGGUUUCUUAAACCCAUAAAAAUAACUUAUUAUACCGAUGUUUUCAUUAUCCAAGCCUAACACUAUAGGAGAAAUUUUAUAGUGCUUUGAUAGUAACUAAUAGUUACUUUCAAUGUCCACUUUAAAGAUAAAAAUAGAGACAAGUUAGAGAAAAAUCUUAGAUAAAGAUAUUCUUAUCAAUUUUAGUGUUCAUGAAUCUCAUUAAUUAUCUCUGUUAUUUUUAUGUCCUUGCUUUUAGCAAAUGUUCGGAGGAAAGAACACAGCACGAUCACUUCCUUCAUCCUUUUCCUGCUUUCUUCUGUCUUUAAGCAAGAAGCGAGUUCAGCGGCAUUUCUUAUCCAAGCCUUAGUUUUCUGUCUUCGACCAUAAUAAUUCUUUGAAAAUGUUUCCCCAUAAGCAAAGACAAGGGAGAUUCUUUUAUAUCUGAUACACCAUGUUGUCUUUGUUUUCCUUCACUGAGGCCACACGUUAUCCAGAAUUUAAUUAAAGCAGGCUAUUAACAAGGCUGCUGGCCUUUUCAGACAUCUUUUGAUAGCUGAUGAAUGUGAUCAACUAAAUUAAAGUUGUUACAGUCCUAUUUAUGAUACAGCAAUUGCACAACAUCAGAAUAUCUAGGGCUACUGACUUCUGCAAUAAUCUUGCACACAAACCUAAUGGAACCUAUUGAGAAAAUAUGUAGACAAAUCCUACAGAAAAAAAAAAAGCAAACUACUCGAAUAUUUCAUACAAACCGAUGUGCCCGUUGUUUUUUCCUUGAUCGAUCAAUCAUUUGAUGUUUUUCAGACCCACUGAUCACCACUUAUCAUACCAGUUUGUAUGAUUUUUUGUCUGUCAAUCUUUUUCUGCACAAAAUUACAGUUUUCUAGGCUGAAUCCAAAUCAAUGAACCCAAGAUGUCAAGUGUCACUUUUUCUGAUGAUGGGAAUCCAUAAAUGAUAAGCAAGUUGGGAGGUCAUUGGCAUAAAUACCAAAGGAAUUCUUCACUUGCCUGCAAAUUCGAUUAUCCUCUUUGAAAUCAUAGUCCUUCCAAGGAUUAUGUCAUGGUUGCACCUAUGAGCUUGGGCAGCUAAAUCCUCAAAAGUUUCCAUGAACACUGCCAUCUUCUUCUUGAUCUCAUCUAUCACAAGUUUCACAACAUCUACUUCUCUGAUAGCUAAGUCAGCAUGGUGAAAGAGGGACUUGAUUUCUAUUUCCAAUUUGUUGACAAGCACCCGUAUACUGUCCAUGUCCUUGAUUGUAAUGAAAGUUCCAACCUGAAUUGUAUUCACCAACACCUUCUGCUCCUUCAACGCGUUCUCAUACCGAUGCCAAAGCAAGUUACACCACGUCCCCACCGAGUGCAUUGGGUCAGCCAGAGCACCGGCCAAAGCAGUUACAACAGGUGGUGCAGCAAUGGCAGCUGCUGCAACUGCAAAAAUCAUCACGGUGACAAAAACGGACACAAAUAAAACAUUCGACACUCUCCUCCAGAUCUUCACCGAUUUCAAUUUCUUAUCAAGCUUCCUCUUAUGAGAUUGCAAUUUCUUCAACAUGGAGACCUGCUGUUCAUAAACCGAUUGGAACAGCAUAAAGAAUUUGGGGGUAAACGGAUCCCCUGCAACCAUAAAAUUCUGUAAUUCUUCUAAUGUCUUGACGUACUUCUUCUCAAUCACCCCAUCUUGCAAUUCCACCUCCUUCUCAAAAUGCGCAAUGGCAGCCAAUAUAUUCAACUGGCUAGUUCGAGCACUUGUAACACAGCUUUCUAGUUCAGUGCAGAAAUCCAUAGUUUUGAUGCUACUCUCGAAGUAUUCCUCAACCAAAGCAAACAAAUCCGGAUUAUUCCAGAUAUCUUCUUUGCUUUCUAGUAUGAAUUUAACCACAUCUUGGUUCAUUUCAAGAAGGCAAUUAGUGACCACUUUGAAUGAGCCUGUGGAUCCCGUGGCAAUAUCAGCAGUGCUAAGUGAGUUUAUGACAUGGUUAGUCUUCUCCAUGAGGUUGGCAUCAAAGGAUUGCAAGCAUGGAUCUAGCUUACAAGCAUCCUCGUAGGAGCUAAAAUCUUCCGCGAAUUGGGAAUGGGUGCUGCUUUGAACAGGUGGUGGUGGGAUAUCACCGCCUCUAGUCUUGCAAGAUUG